GACGAACGCUGGCGGCGUGCCUAAUACAUGCAAGUAGAACGCAGUUGCGAACGGGUGAGUAACGCGUAGGUAACUGCCUCAUAGCGGGGGAUAACCAAUGGAAACGAUAGCUAAUACCGAAUACUGUGAGAUGAACCAGCGUUGUAUUAGCUAGUUGGUGAGGUAAAGGUUCACCAGGGCGACGAUACAUAGCCGACCUGAGAGGGUGAUCGGCCACACUGGGACUGAGACACGGCCCAGACUCCUACGGGAGGCAGCAGUGGGGAAUUUUGGACAAUGGGGGCAACCCUGAUCCAGCCAUGCCGCGUGUAUGAAGAAGGCCUUCGGGUUGUAAAGUACUUUUGUUAGGGAAGCGUUACCUAAAGAAUAAGCACCGGCUAACUACGUGCCAGCAGCCGCGGUAAUAC
This 407-nucleotide ribosomal RNA is filed under the name uncultured bacterium. RNAcentral's name for it is "partial 16S ribosomal RNA". It matches the Rfam family "Bacterial small subunit ribosomal RNA", at positions 28 to 526 of the family's 1533-position model. The record is from RNAcentral.